GGCGAGGUGGCCGAGCGGUCUAAGGCGCUAGUCUCAGGCACUAGUCGGUUCAUCCGACGGAAGCUACUAGUCCGAAAGGGCGUGAGUUCAAAUCUCACCCUCGUCA
This is a non-coding RNA of Chlamydomonas reinhardtii, 106 nucleotides long. The record is from Rfam. Lineage: Eukaryota; Viridiplantae; Chlorophyta; Chlorophyceae; Chlamydomonadales; Chlamydomonadaceae.